CGGUCUUGAAAACCGAAGUAUUGAUAGGAAUACCGGGGGUUCGAAUGCCCGAUCCAGCAAUAUCGCGUGAGUGAAGAAGGGCAAUGCCGCUUGUAAAGCUCUUUUGUCGAGUGCGCGAUCAUGACAGGACUCGAGGAAGAAGCCCCGGCUAACUCCGUGCCAACAGCCGCGGUAAGACCGGGGGGGGGGGGGGCAAGUGUUCUUCGGAAUGACUAGGCGUAAAGGGCACGUAGGCGGUGAAUCGGGUUGAAAGUGAAAGUCGCCAAAAAGUGGCGGAAUGCUGGCGGCAUAGGAACCACGGGAACCUAGGAGGGAGAAAGACGAUGUACGGUAUAUGGGAUCCUCGUAGUAGGCUGGACCAAAAUCCAGCCAAGAGAGGGCAGCCUUUAGAAGCAACAGGUGGGGAAACCAAGAGAAGGCUUCGCCUUUUCUUAUCUUCUUC
RNAcentral lists this non-coding RNA (442 nucleotides) under Oryza sativa Japonica Group (Japanese rice). RNAcentral's name for it is "Bacterial small subunit ribosomal RNA". It matches the Rfam family "Bacterial small subunit ribosomal RNA", at positions 327 to 729 of the family's 1533-position model. The record is from Rfam by way of RNAcentral. Lineage: Eukaryota; Viridiplantae; Streptophyta; Magnoliopsida; Poales; Poaceae.